This 524-nucleotide ribosomal RNA is filed under the name uncultured bacterium. RNAcentral describes it as "bacterial SSU rRNA". It matches the Rfam family "Bacterial small subunit ribosomal RNA", at positions 774 to 1296 of the family's 1533-position model. The record is from RNAcentral.
AGUAAAUAGAUACCCCGGUAGUCCACGCCGUAAACGAUGUCGACUUGGAGGUUGUGCCCUUGAGGCGUGGCUUCCGGAGCUAAACGCGUUAAAGUCGACCGCCUGGGGAGUACGGCCGCAAGGUUAAAACUCAAAUGAAUUGACGGGGGCCCGCACAAGCGGUGGAGCAUGUGGUUUAAUUCGAUGCAACGCGAAGAACCUUACCUACUCUUGACAUCCAGAGAACUUAGCAGAGAUGCUUUGGUGCCUUCGGGAACUCUGAGACAGGUGCUGCAUGGCUGUCGUCAGCUCGUGUUGUGAAAUGUUGGGUUAAGUCCCGCAACGAGCGCAACCCUUAUCCUUUGUUGCCAGCGGUUAGGCCGGGAACUCAAGGAGACUGCCAGUGAUAAACUGGAGGAAGGUGGGGAUGACGUCAAGUCAUCAUGGCCCUUACGAGUAGGGCUACACACGUGCUACAAUGGCGCAUACAAAGAGAAGCGACCUCGCGAGAGCAAGCGGACCUCAUAAAGUGCGUCGUAGUCCGG